Carassius auratus (goldfish) is the source of this 223-nucleotide long non-coding RNA. RefSeq lists it as uncharacterized. The transcript has 3 exons. The record is from RefSeq and is a predicted model, not a curated record. Lineage: Eukaryota; Metazoa; Chordata; Actinopteri; Cypriniformes; Cyprinidae.
UCCUGACCACGUACCGGUCGUUCUGUAAACCUCAGGAGCUGCUGGGUCUGCUCAUGGAGAGGUUUGAGAUUCCUGAACCUAAACCCACGGAAGCGGAUCAGAUGGCCAUCGAGAACGGAGACCAGCCGCAGAGCGCAGAACUCAAACGCUUCCGCAAAGAGUUCGUCCAGCCGGUGCAGCUCAGGGUGUUGAAUGUGUGCAGGCACUGGGUGGAGCAUCACUU